GACGAACGCUGGCGGCGUGCUUAACACAUGCAAGUCGAGCGGUAAGGCCCUUUCGGGGGUACACGAGCGGCGAACGGGUGAGUAACACGUGGGUGACCUGCCCUCAGCUCUGGGAUAAGCCCGGGAAACUGGGUCUAAUACCGGAUAUGACUCCAUGACGCAUGUUGUGGGGUGGAAAGCCUUGCGCGGCUGAGGAUGGGCCCGCGGCCUAUCAGCUUGUUGGUGGGGUGAUGGCCACCAAGGCGACGACGGGUAGCCGGCCUGAGAGGGCGACCGGCCACACUGGGGACUGAGAUACGGCCCAGACUCCUACGGGAGGCAGCAGUGGGGAAUCUUGCGCAAUGGGCGAAAGCCUGACGCAGCGACGCCGCGUGAGGGAUGACGGCCU
Molecule: ribosomal RNA, 388 nt
Filed under: uncultured bacterium
Lineage: Bacteria
Description: bacterial SSU rRNA
Rfam family: Bacterial small subunit ribosomal RNA
Source: RNAcentral